CGCAGGAUAAAAACGCAACGCAGAUGCUUCGGCAUCUGCCAGAGCUGGUAGGUAGCCCAGCCGUCUGCACAAGGUUGAUUGGUGCAGGUAAGUAACCUUCCCCUCCGGGUCGUCCGUUCCUGUGAGAU
RNAcentral lists this non-coding RNA (128 nucleotides) under human gut metagenome. RNAcentral's name for it is "yjdF RNA". It matches the Rfam family "azaaromatic riboswitch aptamer (yjdF RNA)", at positions 5 to 92 of the family's 101-position model. The record is from RNAcentral. RNAcentral also lists the same sequence under 1 other name.